This 80-nucleotide ribosomal RNA is filed under the name Cladonia subrangiformis. Its description in RNAcentral is "partial 5.8S ribosomal RNA". It matches the Rfam family "5.8S ribosomal RNA", at positions 67 to 145 of the family's 154-position model. Rfam says of the family: 5.8S ribosomal RNA (5.8S rRNA) is a component of the large subunit of the eukaryotic ribosome. It is transcribed by RNA polymerase I as part of the 45S precursor that also contains 18S and 28S rRNA. Lineage: Eukaryota; Fungi; Ascomycota; Lecanoromycetes; Lecanorales; Cladoniaceae. The record is from RNAcentral.
GUGAAUUGCAGAAUUUAGUGAAUCAUCGAAUCUUUGAACGCACAUUGCGCCCCUCGGUAUUCCGGGGGGCAUGCCUGUUC